AUUGAACGCUGGCGGCAUGCCUUACACAUGCAAGUCGAACGGCAGCACGGGAGCAAUCCUGGUGGCGAGUGGCGAACGGGUGAGUAAUAUAUCGGAACGUGCCCAGUCGUGGGGAUAACGUAGCGAAAGCUACGCUAAUACCGCAUACGAUCUAUGGAUGAAAGCGGGGGAUCGCAAGACCUCGCGCGAUUGGAGCGGCCGAUAUCAGAUUAGGUAGUUGGUGAGGUAAAGGCUCACCAAGCCGACGAUCUGUAGCUGGUCUGAGAGGACGACCAGCCACACUGGGACUGAGACACGGCCCAGACUCCUACGGGAGGCAGCAGUGGGGAAUUUUGGACAAUGGGCGCAAGCCUGAUCCAGCAAUGCCGCGUGCAGGAUGAAGGCCUUCGGUUGUUAACGUAGCUUUUGUUACGGUAACGAACGGUAGAGGCUCUAAUAC
This 439-nucleotide ribosomal RNA is filed under the name uncultured bacterium. RNAcentral describes it as "bacterial SSU rRNA". It matches the Rfam family "Bacterial small subunit ribosomal RNA", at positions 30 to 467 of the family's 1533-position model. The record is from RNAcentral.